RNAcentral lists this long non-coding RNA (1278 nucleotides) under Gadus morhua (Atlantic cod). RNAcentral's name for it is "lncRNA (ENSGMOG00000034403.1)". Lineage: Eukaryota; Metazoa; Chordata; Actinopteri; Gadiformes; Gadidae. The record is from RNAcentral.
AUGAUGAGGGCUGCCUUACUGAAAGAUGUUCGACAGCUGUCUCCACAGCACCAGACCUUCUCCCUUGAGGCUUACCACUCCCUCAUCUUGCACUUCGCGCCCAAGCACACAGGGUUUUCAUACCUUGGGAUGUAUAGCAGGCUUCUCUUAGCGGCGCUGCAUUAUAAUCACAAUGCCAAUAGCGAGACAGCACGGAGAAGUGACGGGUCGGAGAAGUAAUGCGUGCGGUAUCCGCGCUUCAGAAAAGGUGCCCAUGUGGUGCGUCGCAUCAAAGAGGCAGCCUCAUACGGUAAGCAGUGUCAUGCAGUUCUAUCAUAUUUUGAGAUGGCGCACGAGACAUCGGUGAUCAGUGACAAUGAUCUUUAUAAAGUCAUAUUAUUAUUAUAAUUAAUAUUAUUAUUAUUAUGUCUGCAGGUUAUGCAACAUCAUUAAUGAAGGCCCUUCGGGAGAGCUACGCCAGUUCACCCGCGGUUCUUCGAGAGGUUAGCGCCAAUUCGUCCUCCGAUGCACCCGCCCCCAUCGCCAAAUCCUUCCAACAGAUUCCUAAGGAGGAGGCCGUCAGCCUCUACCUAGCCCGGCAGUCACGCUACAAGAAAACCUAAUUUCACAUUAUUAUUUUUUUCCACGGACAAGUCCAAUAAUUUAGUUGUUAUUAUUUGCAUGAAAUUUCUUUGUAUGUAAUUCAAAAUAAUUUGGCAAUCAUUUUACCUGUGCCUUGUCAACCUCUGUGUGCGGUGUUGUCUGGGCUCACUGUGUGUCUGCUUGAUGUGCUUUUGCAUGUAUGAAUGCAUGAAAUAGUGUGUGUGUGUGUGUGUGAGAGAAAGAGAACCAUCAACUGACCCUCGGGUAUGACCACACUAUUGCAGAAUUAAUUAGAAUUAGAAUUAAACAUUGCGGGUCUAGCCCUUCAGGGUUCCUUGUAUGUUUUGUGCCUAACCAUUUUUUUAUAUAGAUUUAAUUCCAACCUGUUUCUUUGUUCAGUAACCAUUACAAGCGAUGCCAAUAAACUUUUUUUUUAUCCAAAAUUCAUGUGUUCUGUGUACUUUAUAACAUUUUAAGGGCAAUUGAAUGAUCACAACAGAAUAGGCAUAACAAUUAUUUUUAUUCCUUUUCAUCCAAACAAGGCCAUUGAAAGCCCUGAUAGGUCUGGUCACCAUUCUGGAAUUGCUGCCUGAUGGUUGAAACCACACAAGAGGGUAGAGGCUUCCUUAUACUCCUCCCUGAAACGCCAUAAGCCCAGAGUAUAGCCUGCCUGUACACAGUGUACCGGUAUGGCCU